UGUGUGUCCUUUUCUCUGCAGGCUGUCAGGCUGUAAAGUCACACAGAGAGGCUGUGAUUCUCUGGCUUCAGCUCUGUGUUCAAACCCCUCACACCUGAGAGAGCUGGACCUGAGAUACAAUCACCCAGGAGACUCAGGAGUGAGAGCGCUGUCUGCUGCUAAACUGGACACACUCACACUGCUUGUGGACCAUGGAGGAGAGAACAGGACCAAACCAGGACCCAGGAAAUACGGCUGUCAGCUCACACUGGAUCCAAACACAGCGCACAGAGAGCUGUCUCUGUCUGAGGGGAACAGGAGGGUGACACACACACCGGGGAGAGAGGAGCCAUAUCCUGAUCAUCCAGAGAGAUUUGAGUACGAGCCCCAGGUUGUGUGCAGAGAGAGUGUGUGUGAGCGCUGUUACUGGGAGGCUGAGUUCAGUGUGUCUGAGGGGGGAUGGGUUUAUAUAGCAGUGACAGAUAAAGGAAUCAGCAGGAAAGGAGGGGGUUCUGACUGUGUGUUUGGAUGGAAUAAAAACUCCUGGAGUCUGCGGUGCUUUAAGCACGGUCACUCUGAUAAACUCAGUUACUCUGUCUGGCACAAUGAGAACCGAACACACAUACCUGCCCUCACCUCCCCCUACCGCAGAGCAGGAGUGUGUGAUGAUGAUGAUGGUAGAGGAGUGUGUGUGUACAGGGUAGGAGUGUGUGUGGACCGUCCAGCCGGCACUCUGUCCUUCUACAGCGUCUCUGACUCUGACACACUGACCCUCCUGCACAGAUUCCACACACACUUCACUCAACACAAACCCCUCUGUGCUGGAUUUUUUGUGUGUAACUCCUCCUCAGUGUCCCUCUGCCAACUGGAGUAGAGACACACACACGCAUGUGCACACACACACACGCAUACACACACACACACACAUAUGCAUGUGCGCGCACACACAAAUAUGCAUGUGCACACACACGCAUACACACAGACACAUGCACGUGCGUGCACACACAAACAUGCACGUGCACACACACGCAUACACACACACACACACACACACACACGCAUAGACACACACACACGUGCGCAUACACACUCGCACACAUGCACGCACACACAAAUACAUACACUCAUGUACACACACACACACACCACAUUCAUAUACCCACUCACACACACAUACCACACACACUCAUUUACACAUACACACACACUCAGAUACACAUAGACACACACCCACAUACACACAUCCACACAUCCACACACACACACAUACUCUCACACACACCCUUGCUUUCUCACACUCAUGCACACGCACUCACAAAUACACACACUGAUGUACACUCAUGCACACGCACUCACACACCUACGCACUCGUGCGUACACACUCACACUCUUACACACACAUACACACCCUCUCACACCCAAUCACUCACACACCCAAUCAAACACAUGCACACACACACCUACACACAUGAUCACACACAAUCUCUCGCACACACAAACACACUCAUUCACCAGUGCACUCUCACGCACACACACGCAUGCAUGCAUACGUACACACGCUCAUAACCGUAUGCACACACACACACACACUCUCUCUCAUACUCAGUCACUCACACACACACCCUCUCUCUCACACACACAAGCACUCACAUCCACAGUCACACACACAUUCACAGAAACGUACGCACACACACACAUGCCUGCAGAGACACAAACACGUGUCAACACACACACUCCUCAGUGUCCCUCUGCUAACUGGAGUAGAGACACACACACAUGCAAGCGCACACACACACACACACACACAUACACACACACGCAAUCACACACUCACACAUAUAUAUAUACACACUCAUAUGCUCCUAGACUCACAGACAUGCACUCACACAUCUACACACACACUCGCACAACCAGUCACACACACACACCCUCUCUCUCUCUCACACACUCCAUCACACACACACACACACACACUCUCACACACACCCUUUCUCUCUGUCAUGCACACGCACUCACAAAUACAUACACUCAUGUUUACUCAUGCACACGCACUCACAGACCUAUGCACGCACACUCUCUCACACCCAGUCACUCACACACACCUACACACGGACACACACAAUCUCACGCACACACACACACACGCGCAUGCACACAUACACGCGCUCAAACACACACACUCUCACUCACACACUCACAUACAGUAUACAGACACACACAUUCGCAAACGCACGCACACACACACACAUUUAUGCAAUCACACACAAACACAAACGUGUCAACACACACACACUCUCAUUCCCAUACGCACGCACGCACACACAUGUAUAAACACACACAUUCUCUUACCCAUACGCACACACACACUCAUGCACUCACACAUGCACACACAUGCAUGCGUGCACACACCAUAUACACAUGUAUACACAAACAUUCUGACACCCAUACAUACACACACACACGUAUAAACACACACACAUUCACAAAGGCACUCUCACGCACACACACAUACACAUACAUACACUCAUUCUCUUGCACGCACACACACUCAAAUAAACAAUCACACACACAUUCACACAAACGCAUGCACACACACUUUCUCUUACCCAUACACACACGCACCCGUGUGUACACACACACAUACUCAUGCACUCAAUCAUACUCUCACACAUGCACACAUACAUACAUGCGUGCACACGCACACACAUUCUCUUACCCAUACACACACACAAUCCGGGCACACACAUACUCAUGCACUCACACACAUACACACACAUGUUCACAUCCACAGUCACUCCCACAAACGUACGCAUGUAUGCACACACAUUCACAAAUUCACGCACACAAACACACUCUCACCCAAUCACACACACACACACACACACACACAUCGACACACUUGCAACCUUCCUUGACCAAUGCCUUACCAGUGCAAUUUCAGCUGUGCCCAAUAUUAUAUAUAUAUAUAUAUAACCUAACUCCUGUACAUAAGAGUAAUAUCUUUUAGCAGUUCAGGUUAAGCACUUGCUGUCUAAAUGUGAUAUUUUUUUACAUUUUAAUACAUUUAUAUUGCAAAUGUUCAAGGUGUGUUUAUGUACUUUUGAUUAUUAAAACAUUAAUAUAACAUUGAGAGUAAUAAUGCCAAAAGAUGGCAGGGUAAAAUGUUUUUGAAGUAAUAAUUCUAUCUCCUGUAUCUGCAUCUUUUUUAAAAGAAUCCAGUGGCAAACUCCUCCACUUAAAUGUGCAUUUUACUAGUUUUUACAGUUGCUUUCAUUCAUUUUCACAAGAGUUCCAAUGUGCAAAUUUCUGUUGGCAAAUGCAGCUGAUAGGGAGAAUGCAGAAUGAUCACUGCAGUGUACUUAUUUCCUUUCAUUACUGUAAACAAUGAUGGAUUGAGUUUCCUUAUUAAUUCUUUUAGGAUUUUUUUUUUUUUUUUGCUUUAAUUUUCUGUAUUUUCAGACAAUAAUAUGCAAUGAUUAAACCUGAAUUAUUAAAAUAUCAAA
Long non-coding RNA from Anguilla rostrata (American eel), 3482 nucleotides. RefSeq lists it as uncharacterized. The record is from RefSeq and is a predicted model, not a curated record. The transcript has 3 exons. NCBI's taxonomy places the organism in Eukaryota, Metazoa, Chordata, Actinopteri, Anguilliformes, Anguillidae.